This 406-nucleotide ribosomal RNA is filed under the name uncultured bacterium. RNAcentral describes it as "partial 16S ribosomal RNA". It matches the Rfam family "Bacterial small subunit ribosomal RNA", at positions 30 to 526 of the family's 1533-position model. The record is from RNAcentral.
AUUGAACGCUGGCGGCAGGCCUAACACAUGCAAGUCGAACGAGUGGCGGACGGGUGAGUAAUGUCUGGGAAACUGCCUGAUGGAGGGGGAUAACUACUGGAAACGGUAGCUAAUACCGCAUACCAUCAGAUGUGCCCAGAUGGGAUUAGCUUGUUGGUGGGGUAACGGCUCACCAAGGCGACGAUCCCUAGCUGGUCUGAGAGGAUGACCAGCCACACUGGAACUGAGAAAGGGUCCAGACUCCUACGGGAGGCAGCAGUGGGGAAUAUGGCACAAGGGGCGCAAGCCUGAGGCAGCCAGGCCGCGUGUAUGAAGAAGGCCUUCGGGUUGUAAAGUACUUUCAGCGGGGAGGCGUUACCCGCAGAAGAGGCACCGGCUAACUCCGUGCCAGCAGCCGCGGUAAUUC